Molecule: ribosomal RNA, 497 nt
Filed under: uncultured bacterium
Lineage: Bacteria
Description: bacterial SSU rRNA
Rfam family: Bacterial small subunit ribosomal RNA
Source: RNAcentral
AAAGGAAUUGACGGGGACCCGCACAAGCAGCGGAGCGUGUUGUUUAAUUCGAAGAUACUCGAAGAACCUUACCAAGACUUGACAUCGCCUGACGGACGUGGAAACACGUAAUCCCUAGCAAUAGGGCAGGUAGACAGGUGGUGCAUGGUUGUCGUCAGCUCGUGUCGUGAGAUGUUGGGUUAAGUCCCGCAACGAGCGCAACCCUUACGGUUAGUUGCCAAUAUUAAGUUAGGAACUCUGACCGGACUGCCGUGGAUAUAACACGGAGGAAGGCGGGGAUGACGUCAAAUCAUCAUGCCCCUUACGUCUUGGGCUACAAACGCGCUACAAUGGCCGUUACAAAGAGCAGCGAAGCAGCGAUGCGGAGCCAAUCUCAAAAAAGCGGUCUCAGUUCAGAUUAUGGGCUGCAACCCGCCCAUAUGAAGAUGGAGUUGCUAGUAAUCCCGAAUCAGCAUGUCGGGGUGAAUGCGUUCCCGGGUCUUGUACACACCGCCCGU